This 520-nucleotide ribosomal RNA is filed under the name uncultured Glomus. Its description in RNAcentral is "SSU rRNA". It matches the Rfam family "Eukaryotic small subunit ribosomal RNA", at positions 569 to 1093 of the family's 1831-position model. The record is from RNAcentral. Lineage: Eukaryota; Fungi; Glomeromycota; Glomeromycetes; Glomerales; Glomeraceae.
AGCAGCCGCGGUAAUUCCAGCUCCAAUAGCGUAUAUUAAAGUUGUUGCAGUUAAAAAGCUCGUAGUUGAAUUUCGGGAUCAAUAUGUUGGUCGUGCCUCGGUACGUACUAGCUUAUUGGUUUCUCCUUUCUGAAGAACCAUGAUGUCAUUUAUUUGGUGUCGUGGGGAAUCAGGACUGUUACUUUGAAAAAAUUAGAGUGUUUAAAGCAGGCUCACGCUUGAAUACAUUAGCAUGGAAUAAUGAAAUAGGACGUUUGAUUCUAUUUUGUUGGUUUUUAGGAUCGACGUAAUGAUUAAUAGGGAUAGUUGGGGGCAUUAGUAUUCAAUUGUCAGAGGUGAAAUUCUUGGAUUUAUUGAAGACUAACUACUGCGAAAGCAUUUGCCAAGGAUGUUUUCAUUAAUCAAGAACGAAAGUUAGGGGAUCGAAGACGAUCAGAUACCGUCGUAGUCUUAACCAUAAACUAUGCCGACUAGGGAUCGGAUGAUGUUAAUUUUUAAUGACUCAUUCGGCGCCUUACGG